GAAGGUCAGGCUUCGCACUGACCGAGGCAGGAUCCGUCCGGGUGAGCGAAGCUCUUCUUCCUUUUGCGGGUGCAAUCCCCGCGGGGGAGCUCGGCGGCGCACUGCCGGCCCAUCUCAGCCGCUUCUUGUCGGCGAGGUGGAGCCAGAGCGCACACGUUGGGACCCGAAAGAUGGUGAACUAUGCUCGGGCAGGACGAAGCCAGAGGAAACUCUGGUGGAGGUCCGUAGCGAUUCUGACGUGCAAAUCGAUCGUCGGACCCGAGUAUAGGGGCGAAAGACUAAUCGAACCGUCU
This 293-nucleotide ribosomal RNA is filed under the name Rhysida sp. CES091328. RNAcentral's name for it is "partial 28S ribosomal RNA". It matches the Rfam family "Eukaryotic large subunit ribosomal RNA", at positions 721 to 945 of the family's 3401-position model. The record is from RNAcentral. Lineage: Eukaryota; Metazoa; Arthropoda; Chilopoda; Scolopendromorpha; Scolopendridae.